CCCGCGACUCGACGAGAAGUCCAUUGAACCUUAUCAUUUAGAGGAAGGAGAAGUCGUAACAAGGUUUCCGUAGGUGAACCUGCGGAAGGAUCAUUG
RNAcentral lists this ribosomal RNA (96 nucleotides) under Gomesa barbata. RNAcentral's name for it is "partial 18S ribosomal RNA". It matches the Rfam family "Eukaryotic small subunit ribosomal RNA", at positions 1736 to 1831 of the family's 1831-position model. The record is from RNAcentral. Lineage: Eukaryota; Viridiplantae; Streptophyta; Magnoliopsida; Asparagales; Orchidaceae.